UCGUAACAAGGUCUCCGUUGGUGAACCAGCGGAGGGAUCAUUACCGAGUUAUACAACUCAUCAACCCUGUGAACAUACCUAAAACGUUGCUUCGGCGGGAACAGACGGCCCUGUAACAACGGGCCGCCCCCGCCAGAGGACCCCUAACUCUGUUUUUAUAAUGUUUUUCUGAGUAAACAAGCAAAUAAAUUAAAACUUUCAACAACGGAUCUCUUGGCUCUGGCAUCGAUGAAGAACGCAGCGAAAUGCGAUAAGUAAUGUGAAUUGCAGAAUUCAGUGAAUCAUCGAAUCUUUGAACGCACAUUGCGCCCGCCAGUAUUCUGGCGGGCAUGCCUGUUCGAGCGUCAUUACAACCCUCAGGCCCCCGGGCCUGGCGUUGGGGAUCGGCGGAAGCCCCCUGUGGGCACACGCCGUCCCUCAAAUACAGUGGCGGUCCCGCCGCAGCUUCCAUUGCGUAGUAGCUAACACCUCGCAACUGGAGAGCGGCGCGGCCAUGCCGUAAAACACCCAACUUCUGAAUGUUGACCUCGAAUCAGGUAGGAAUACCCGCUGAACCUAAGCAUAUCA
This 567-nucleotide unclassified non-coding RNA is filed under the name Fusarium solani. Its description in RNAcentral is "sequence contains 18S rRNA gene, ITS1, 5.8S rRNA gene, ITS2, 28S rRNA gene". The stretch from base 194 to 347 matches the Rfam family "5.8S ribosomal RNA". The record is from RNAcentral. Lineage: Eukaryota; Fungi; Ascomycota; Sordariomycetes; Hypocreales; Nectriaceae.